Cyanistes caeruleus (blue tit) is the source of this 83-nucleotide non-coding RNA. The record is from RefSeq and is a predicted model, not a curated record. Lineage: Eukaryota; Metazoa; Chordata; Aves; Passeriformes; Paridae.
CCAUUUUUAUUAAACCCAAAACAGUGGAAAAUAUCAUGGAAAUGAAUAAACGCUUAACAGAAGAGCAAGCCAGGAAGACAUUU